GAUUUCUGGCUUGAAACAUUAUGCCGGCCACGGUUUCGUGUGUUAGUGCAUUGGUGUUCUGGCCAUCCUUCCAAUCGCUAUUUGUCUUUCUUCAUUGAUGGGCAAGUGGUAUUGGAUCUUUUACUUUGAAAAAAUUAGAGUGUUUCAAGCAGGCUUUAUGCUAUGAAUACAUUAGCAUGGAAUAAUAAUUUAGGACUUCGGUUCUAUUUUGUUGGUUUCUAGGACUGAAGUAAUGAUUGAUAGGGAUAGUUGGGGGUGCUAGUAUUCAGCGGCCAGAGGUGAAAUUCUCGGAUUCGCUGAAGACUAACUUAUGCGAAAGCAUU
This 323-nucleotide ribosomal RNA is filed under the name uncultured Paracercomonas. RNAcentral describes it as "SSU rRNA". The stretch from base 113 to 323 matches the Rfam family "Eukaryotic small subunit ribosomal RNA", at positions 744 to 955 of the family's 1831-position model. Lineage: Eukaryota; Cercozoa; Cercomonadida; Cercomonadidae. The record is from RNAcentral.